UACGUAGGGGCGAGCGUUGUCCGGAAUCAUUGGGCGUAAAGCGCGUGUAGGCGGUCAGUAAGUCUGCUGUGAAAGUUCCAGGGCUCAACCCUGGGAUGCCGGUGGAUACUGCUGAACUAGAGUGCGGAAGAGGCGAGUGGAAUUCCCGGUGUAAGCGGUGAAAUGCGCAGGAUAAUCGGGAGGAACACCAAUUGCGAAGGCAGCUCCGGCUAGGACGUUACUGACGCUGAGACGCGAAAGCGUGGGAGCAAACAGGG
This 257-nucleotide ribosomal RNA is filed under the name uncultured bacterium. RNAcentral's name for it is "partial 16S ribosomal RNA". It matches the Rfam family "Bacterial small subunit ribosomal RNA", at positions 524 to 777 of the family's 1533-position model. The record is from RNAcentral.